GACCUCGGAUCAGGUAGGGAUACCCGCUGAACUUAAGCAUAUCAAUAAGCGGAGGAAAAGAAACCAACAGGGAUUGCCUUAGUAACGGCGAGUGAAGCGGCAAUAGCUCAAAUUUGAAAUCUGGCCUUACGGUCCGAAUUGUAAUUUGUAGAGGAUGCUUCGAGCAUGGUCUGGUCUAAGUUCUUUGGAACAAGACAUCAUAGAGGGUGAGAAUCCCGUAUGUGACUGGGUGCCUAAGCUCAUGUGAAGCUCCUUCAACGAGUCGAGUUGUUUGGGAAUGCAGCUCAAAAUGGGUGGUAAAUUUCAUCUAAAGCUAAAUACUGGCCAGAGACCGAUAGCGCACAAGUAGAGUGAUCGAAAGAUGAAAAGCACUUUGGAAAGAGAGUCAAACAGUACGUGAAAUUGUUGAAAGGGAAGCGC
Molecule: ribosomal RNA, 420 nt
Filed under: uncultured fungus
Lineage: Eukaryota; Fungi
Description: eukaryotic LSU rRNA
Rfam family: Eukaryotic large subunit ribosomal RNA
Source: RNAcentral